AAAAAAAGGCCAUACUGUGUAGUUAGGAGGAUGAAGAGAACUGCCAACUAUGUUAAGCACCGGGAGCGAGCAGCAUGGAAUUCUGGGAAACAAGAACAAUAUGAGCCUCAGAUGUCUCCUCACACACACACACUGUGUGGCGACACGCAUCUCUGCGUGCCUGGCAGAUAUCUCAGCUUGGAUGUUGGCCCACCACCUCAAGCUCAACCUCGACAAGACGGAGCUGCUCUUCCUCCCGGAGAAGGCCUGUCCACUCAAGUCCUCUCAUUUACCGUUGACAGCUCCACAGUGUUGUCCUUCCAGAGUGCAAAUAACCUUGGCUUGACCCUGGACAACACUGUCGUUCUCUGCAAACAUCAAAGCAGUGACUCGCUCCUGCAGGUUCAUGCUCUACAACAUUCGUAGAGUACGACCCUUCCUCACGCAGUUUGCUGGACUACUGCAACUCACUGUUGACUGGACUCCUUGCUUGUAUCAUCAAACCCAUCAUCAAGUUAUCCAGAACGCUGCAGCCUGCCAGGUUUUCAACCUUCCCAAGUUCUCCCAUGUCACCCCGCUCCUCCGUACACUUUCUCACAUCCAAUACGAGACCACGGCGCUUGCCUACGGAGCAGCAGCAAGAGGAAGUUCUCUCUUCUCUGUCCUGUCACCCCAAUGGUGGAACCAGCUUCUCCAUGAAGCUACAACAGAAGAGUCCCUGCCCAUCUUCCGAAUGCACCUCUUCAAAGAGUAUCUUAAAUACAAA
Molecule: long non-coding RNA, 745 nt
Organism: Oncorhynchus tshawytscha (Chinook salmon)
Lineage: Eukaryota; Metazoa; Chordata; Actinopteri; Salmoniformes; Salmonidae
Source: Ensembl